AUAUAUAUAAACAACGACGAGACAUCUAGAUUAGUGUGUAUAUGAUGUAAU
RNAcentral lists this non-coding RNA (51 nucleotides) under Trypanosoma brucei brucei. Lineage: Eukaryota; Euglenozoa; Kinetoplastea; Trypanosomatida; Trypanosomatidae. The record is from RNAcentral.